GAUGAAGAACGCAGCGAAAUGCGAUAAGUAAUGCGAAUUGCAGAAUUCAGUGAAUCAUCGAAUCUUUGAACGCACAUUGCGCCCGCCAGUAUUCUGGCGGGCAUGCCUGUUCGAGCGUCAUUUCAACCAUCAAGCCCUGCUUGCGUUGGGGUCCUGCGGCUGCCCGCAGGCCCUGAAAACCAGUGGCGGGCUCGCUAGUCACACCGAGCGCAGUAAUACAUCUCGCUUUGGGCGUGCGGCGGGUUCUUGCCGUUAAACACCCCCUUUUUACCAAGGUUGACCUCGGAUCAGGUAGGAAUACCCGCUGAACUUAAGCAUAUCAAUAAGCGGAGGA
RNAcentral lists this unclassified non-coding RNA (334 nucleotides) under soil metagenome. RNAcentral describes it as "partial contains 5.8S ribosomal RNA, internal transcribed spacer 2, and large subunit ribosomal RNA". The stretch from base 1 to 120 matches the Rfam family "5.8S ribosomal RNA", at positions 35 to 154 of the family's 154-position model. The record is from RNAcentral.